GGCUCUAUGGUGUAAUGGAUACACACAUUUCGCGUUAUGGCGGUGCAUAGGCGAAGGAGUAGUGCCUCAAUGAACGGGGGCGCCGGAGCCUCCGGUUCGAUUCCGGACGGGGCCA
Mycena capillaripes is the source of this 115-nucleotide non-coding RNA. The record is from the annotation of a GenBank genome assembly. NCBI's taxonomy places the organism in Eukaryota, Fungi, Basidiomycota, Agaricomycetes, Agaricales, Mycenaceae.